Molecule: ribosomal RNA, 312 nt
Filed under: uncultured Tomentella
Lineage: Eukaryota; Fungi; Basidiomycota; Agaricomycetes; Thelephorales; Thelephoraceae
Description: eukaryotic LSU rRNA
Source: RNAcentral
AACGCACCUUGCGCCCUUUGGCUAUUCCGAAGGGCAUGCCUGUUUGAGUAUCAUGAACACCUCAACUCUCAUGGCUUGCAUGAUGAGCUUGGACUUUGGAGGUCUUGCCGGCCUAUGGUCUGCUCCUCUCAAAUGAAUCAGCUUGCCAGUAUUUGGUGGCAUCACAGGUGUGAUAAACAUUUACGCUUGUGGUGUCCUGCCAGGUGACCCUCAGCAACGGUGGUCUACUGGGGCUCAUAAACGUCUCUCUUUAGUGGAGACAGCAUUGUGAACGUUUGAUCUCAAAUCAGGUAGGACUACCCGCUGAACUUA